GCAAACUGCGAAUACCGGAGAAUGUUAUCACGGGAGACACACGGCGGGUGCUAACGUCCGUCGUGAAGAGGGAAACAACCCAGACCGCCAGCUAAGGUCCCAAAGUCAUGGUUAAGUGGGAAACGAUGUGGGAAGGCCCAGACAGCCAGGAUGUUGGCUUAGAAGCAGCCAUCAUUUAAAGAAAGCGUAAUAGCUCACUGGUCGAGUCGGCCUGCGCGGAAGAUGUAACGGGGCUAAACCAUGCACCGAAGCUGCGGCAGCGACGCUUAUGCGUUGUUGGGUAGGGGAGCGUUCUGUAAGCCUGUGAAGGUGUACUGUGAGGUAUGCUGGAGGUAUCAGAAGUGCGAAUGCUGACAUAAGUAACGAUAAAGCGGGUGAAAAGCCCGCUCGCCGGAAGACCAAGGGUUCCUGUCCAACGUUAAUCGGGGCAGGGUGAGUCGACCCCUAAGGCGAGGCCGAAAGGCGUAGUCGAUGGGAAACAGGUUAAUAUUCCUGUACUUGGUGUUACUGCGAAGGGGGGACGGAGAAGGCUAUGUUGGCCGGGCGACGGUUGUCCCGGUUUAAGCGUGUAGGCUGGUUUUCCAGGCAAAUCCGGAAAAUCAAGGCUGAGGCGUGAUGACGAGGCACUACGGUGCUGAAGCAACAAAUGCCCUGCUUCCAGGAAAAGCCUCUAAGCAUCAGGUAACAUCAAAUCGUACCCCAAACCGACACAGGUGGUCAGGUAGAGAAUACCAAGGCGCUUGAGAGAACUCGGGUGAAGGAACUAGGCAAAAUGGUGCCGUAACUUCGGGAGAAGGCACGCUGAUAUGUAGGUGAAGCGACUUGCUCGUGGAGCUGAAAUCAGUCGAAGAUACCAGCUGGCUGCAACUGUUUAUUAAAAACACAGCACUGUGCAAACACGAAAGUGGACGUAUACGGUGUGACGCCUGCCCGGUGCCGGAAGGUUAAUUGAUGGGGUUAGCGGUAACGCGAAGCUCUUGAUCGAAGCCCCGGUAAACGGCGGCCGUAACUAUAACGGUCCUAAGGUAGCGAAAUUCCUUGUCGGGUAAGUUCCGACCUGCACGAAUGGCGUAAUGAUGGCCAGGCUGUCUCCACCCGAGACUCAGUGAAAUUGAACUCGCUGUGAAGAUGCAGUGUACCCGCGGCAAGACGGAAAGACCCCGUGAACCUUUACUAUAGCUUGACACUGAACAUUGAGCCUUGAUGUGUAGGAUAGGUGGGAGGCUUUGAAGUGUGGACGCCAGUCUGCAUGGAGCCGGCCUUGAAAUACCACCCUUUAAUGUUUGAUGUUCUAACGUUGGCCCCUGAUCGGGGUUGCGGACAGUGUCUGGUGGGUAGUUUGACUGGGGCGGUCUCCUCCUAAAGAGUAACGGAGGAGCACGAAGGUUGGCUAAUCCUGGUCGGACAUCAGGAGGUUAGUGCAAUGGCAUAAGCCAGCUUGACUGCGAGCGUGACGGCGCGAGCAGGUGCGAAAGCAGGUCAUAGUGAUCCGGUGGUUCUGAAUGGAAGGGCCAUCGCUCAACGGAUAAAAGGUACUCCGGGGAUAACAGGCUGAUACCGCCCAAGAGUUCAUAUCGACGGCGGUGUUUGGCACCUCGAUGUCGGCUCAUCACAUCCUGGGGCUGAAGUAGGUCCCAAGGGUAUGGCUGUUCGCCAUUUAAAGUGGUACGCGAGCUGGGUUUAGAACGUCGUGAGACAGUUCGGUCCCUAUCUGCCGUGGGCGCUGGAGAACUGAGGGGGGCUGCUCCUAGUACGAGAGGACCGGAGUGGACGCAUCACUGGUGUUCGGGUUGUCAUGCCAAUGGCACUGCCCGGUAGCUAAAUGCGGAAGAGAUAAGUGCUGAAAGCAUCUAAGCACGAAACUUGCCCCGAGAUGAGUUCUCCCUGAGACUUAGAGUCUCCUGAAGGAACGUUGAAGACGACGACGUUGAUAGGCCGGGUGUGUAAGCGCAGCGAUGCGUUGAGCUAACCGGUACUAAUGAACCGUGAGGCUUAACCUUACAACGCCGAAG
This 2012-nucleotide ribosomal RNA is filed under the name Escherichia coli. RNAcentral's name for it is "partial 23S ribosomal RNA". It matches the Rfam family "Bacterial large subunit ribosomal RNA", at positions 949 to 2925 of the family's 2925-position model. The record is from RNAcentral. Lineage: Bacteria; Pseudomonadati; Pseudomonadota; Gammaproteobacteria; Enterobacterales; Enterobacteriaceae.